GAUGAACGCUGGCGGCGUGCCUAAUACAUGCAAGUCGAGCGAACAGAUAAGGAGCUUGCUCCUUUGACGUUAGCGGCGGACGGGUGAGUAACACGUGGGUAACCUACCUAUAAGACUGGAAUAACUCCGGGAAACCGGGGCUAAUGCCGGAUAACAUUUAGAACCGCAUGGUUCUAAAGUGAAAGAUGGUUUUGCUAUCACUUAUAGAUGGACCCGCGCCGUAUUAGCUAGUUGGUAAGGUAACGGCUUACCAAGGCAACGAUACGUAGCCGACCUGAGAGGGUGAUCGGCCACACUGGAACUGAGACACGGUCCAGACUCCUACGGGAGGCAGCAGUAGGGAAUCUUCCGCAAUGGGCGAAAGCCUGACGGAGCAACGCCGCGUAAGUGAUGAAGGUCUUCGGAUCGUAAAACUCUGUUAUUAGGGAAGAACAAAUGUGUAAGUAACUGUGCACGUCUUGACGGUACCUAAUCAGAAAGCCACGGCUAACUACGUG
Molecule: ribosomal RNA, 497 nt
Filed under: uncultured bacterium
Lineage: Bacteria
Description: partial 16S ribosomal RNA
Rfam family: Bacterial small subunit ribosomal RNA
Source: RNAcentral